UAAGGAAUAUUGCUCAAUGGGAGAAAUCCUGAAGCAGCAACGCCGCGUGGAGGAUGAAGGGUCUAUGACUUGUAAACUCCUGUAAAGAAGGAAAAAAUUCCCAUUAGAUGGGAGAUGAUGGUACUUCUGGAGUAAGCCCCGGCUAACUACGUGCCAGCAGCCGCGGUAAUACGUAGGGGGCAAGCGUUGUCCGGAUUUACUGGGUGUAAAGGGUGCUCAGGCGGAUUUGUAAGUCAGAGGUGAAAUCUUACAGCUUAACUGUGAAACUGCCUUUGAUACUGCAAGCCUAGAGUAUGGAAGAGAGUGAUGGAAUAUCUGGUGUAGCAGUGAAAUGCGUAGAUAUCAGAUAGAACACCAAUGUCGAAGGCAGUCACUUGGUCCAUUACUGACGCUAAAGCACGAAAGCGUGGGUAGCAAACA
RNAcentral lists this ribosomal RNA (420 nucleotides) under uncultured bacterium. RNAcentral describes it as "bacterial SSU rRNA". It matches the Rfam family "Bacterial small subunit ribosomal RNA", at positions 355 to 774 of the family's 1533-position model. The record is from RNAcentral.